RNAcentral lists this transfer RNA (65 nucleotides) under Marcia japonica. Its description in RNAcentral is "tRNA-Tyr". Lineage: Eukaryota; Metazoa; Mollusca; Bivalvia; Venerida; Veneridae. The record is from RNAcentral.
UAAAGAAGCGGCUGUAGAAGUGUUAAGUUGUAACCUUAAUUAUGGUGUAAUAUACCCUUCUUUAA